This 240-nucleotide long non-coding RNA is filed under the name Homo sapiens (human). RNAcentral describes it as "non-protein coding lnc-MNAT1-2:1". Lineage: Eukaryota; Metazoa; Chordata; Mammalia; Primates; Hominidae. The record is from RNAcentral.
CUCGCUGCAGCGCGGCUCGGGAGGGAACACCGCUGGCAAGGAGCGCCCGAUGCCAGGUUUCGGCUCUCCAGUGCCUCCUCUGUGCAGGCUCUGAAAAAAUGUCCACUCCAUUGCCCCAUAUCCCUGGAGGGAAGAACCAAAGCGACUCAAAAAUGUACUCCCACGAGAAGAAAAAUCAAGCUAUUUGGAGUCCAAAUGCAGUGCCUGAAGUUCCCAACCUGUUCCUGACCCAAACCCCAG